ACAGCAUCUAGCACAUAAGUAUCAGUAACACAGGGAGCACUCAAUAAACGAAGCAGAAGGCCCAAGAUGAAGAAGAUUUCCAUGAUGGUUCUAGAGGUUUUGUUCUUUAGGGAAGAUUCGCAGGAGAAAGGAGGAGAUGCAAGAGACAUCUAGCAGCCAAAUCUCUCUCCACGAAAAAGAGAAGAACUGGGGAAAGGGUGACAACCUCACUCAGUCCAUGACUCCUCUCCUACUAAAAUGGCAAUCAGAGGGAAGACUUUGAAGGUCCAACUCUUGCUUCCCUUUGUGCAUAAUGGAUUUUACAUUAGGUCUUUGAGCCUCAUUCACAUGAGAUGUGAACAUCUGAUGAGAACAUAAACAAAGUGAAGGAAAAGCAGUAAGAAAAUAUUUAUUUAAUUGUAAGAUGACUUCUUAAAACAAACUAUUUUUUGGAGAAGGCACAAGAAAUGCAUAUAGAAAGAUGUGCCAAAUACCACACUGUAUAAAGAGCUCUGGCUGAAUAUACAAUAGCUCUGCCUCUGUUAUCGCAGAGCAGAAUCAAUAAAUAAACAUAAUGAAAUUCAUGACACAUUAUUACAUUACUCUGUAUUGCCUCUAUUCAUUAAAAAAAAAGAUGAGCACAUUUAAAAUAAUUCACAACAUGUCAAAUGCCUGUGAGCAUUGCAGCUGAGACUGAUGCUUUAAGAGGUAUUUGUGAAGUUCUUAUGAGGGGACUUGAUGACUUAUAUCAAAGUUAAGACGGCAGUAUAGGAAACCAGAACAAUAACUACUUCACUCUAGCCUACUAGUAUAGUUGUAUCCAAUAUAUUUUCACUUUUGACCAACGAUAUGUACUUACUAGAGCCACACUGUCAAUAAAAACCACAUUAAGAACCUUUUGAAAGAGCUUCCCUGUCAAUUAGGCUGCAGAUGCAUUCUUUUAUUCUAGUUUUCCUGUCAAUUUAAUAUACUGGAUCAUAUUAACAGCACUGACUUGUCAAUAAUGUAGAUUUGAAUCCUAUUAAUGGAGUUACGCUGCCAAUAUAAUCGGCUUUCUAUUUAUCGAGCUCCCCUGUAUUUGGAAAAGCUGUGAAAUGGGAUUAUAAGGUUAUGUUAUGUACAUCUGUCUCUACACUAUAUAAAAUAUUUCAGGAAUUUGAUCCCACCAGCUGAAGAAACACCUGUCUAAUCAUUUUUUUCCCAUCACAUGAACUUCAGACAACAGAACAGCAUACCAUCACUGAGAGGACAUUAAAUCACGCUCAUUUAUCACAACACGUUUCCUGCUUGUU
Long non-coding RNA from Dermochelys coriacea (leatherback sea turtle), 1271 nucleotides. RefSeq lists it as uncharacterized. The record is from RefSeq and is a predicted model, not a curated record. The transcript is spliced from 3 exons. NCBI's taxonomy places the organism in Eukaryota, Metazoa, Chordata, Testudines, Dermochelyidae.